GGGACGAACAAACGGCCAGCAGUCCCAGCCCAGCUGGGGGGAUCCUGCGGAAAUACCGCGCUCCGUGCCAGGGCUUUGGACGCAAAGAAGUAUUUUCCUGCCGUAAGGGUUAAACUAGCUUUUACCAGUGAGUAAGGGCCCAGCCCUGCCAUGUGUGCAUCUCAAAGGUGCCUGCCAAGACAAGGGGGAACAGGCAAAGUUUUUCUUCAUCAUAGCCCACCAUGGACGUUUGCCCUUGAAGGGGACCGGGGGGACAGUGCCUGCCAGGGACAGGACACUGUUGCAGGGCAGACCAGCAGGCAUGGGAAGGUCAGCAAUUUGGCUGAGGCAGCUGCUUUAUCUUGUUCCAAGAGCUGGGAGAGCCACAGGCCUUCUCCAAGCACGCACCUCCCAGGGGAUUUGCCCUUGAGGCACUGACCUGCUUCUACUGUCCCAGGGAAAACAAGUCCAGACUCACUUUUAUAUCGACCAUGUCUGUUGUCUGCCCAUGCCUGGCAGUGGGGGCUGGCUACAAACUGCAGCCCAUGGGUUUCAGCUCAGCCACUGGGGACCCACAACAGCCCAAGAGAAAGGCGUGAACACCCCAGAGCCAUGUCAAGCACCUGAGUGAUGAAAGCAUUCCAUCCCUGGCUGCCAGAGACAAAUUAAGGUACCUUGGUUUGAACACCACAUCUCACCCUCUGCUCCAUAAAUAAACCUGUGAGGCACAUGGCAUCCCCUGGGUCCCCAUGGCACAAAGCUGGCACACAGCAGGCAGGCACAGGUGUCACAGCUGCCACCAGUGCAGAGAAGAGGCAAUUAGCAGGUAGUGAAAAAGCUCCUGCUCUCCCUGUUCAGCCCCCAUUGUGCAAAUCCUGCCCCAAUUAAAGCCCCCUCUUUGCUUUCAGAUAUUGCUAGGAGAGAAUAAUUCACCCUAAAACAAGGUAUUUCCAGCAGGUCAACAAGACAAAGCCAACUCUCAGUUUGCAAAAGGCUCUGGCACCUGCCUGGGAGCAUUUAAUUACCCUGACAAUGGCAUCAAGAGAAGAAGGGCCAUGAGACCCCUUCAAUCACAAAUUCACAGAGGAGGCACGGCUUUGCCUGCUGCUCCCACAUGCCUGGGGCCAGAAGCACCUGCAGGCUGCAGCCUCUUCCUAAGAGCUGAACUAUCAUCCAGCCCUCUUAGGGACACCUUUUUCCCCUCAGAGCCUGCAAUGCUGCACAGGGUACUGGCUUUUUUAUGUUGUGCUUUUCCUUUGUCCUUUGCACCGCUCUUAUGCCAAUAAAUGCACAUUAUAAAAAAACAAA
Molecule: long non-coding RNA, 1287 nt
Organism: Parus major (Great Tit)
Lineage: Eukaryota; Metazoa; Chordata; Aves; Passeriformes; Paridae
Exons: 2
Source: RefSeq, a predicted model, not a curated record